This 252-nucleotide long non-coding RNA is filed under the name Equus caballus (horse). Its description in RNAcentral is "lncRNA (ENSECAG00000029913.2)". Lineage: Eukaryota; Metazoa; Chordata; Mammalia; Perissodactyla; Equidae. The record is from RNAcentral.
UUUUUUGCAACAGCUGAGCCUGGACCUCUUUGUAACACAGUAUAGUAAAUAUAAAAUGGUAGAGGAUGACUGCAAGGAAAACUUUCAUCUGAAGAAGUGGAUGGUUCCUUUUGGCUGGAAAGAGCACGUAAGAGGUGCAGUGGCCUCCCUGAGAUUGGUAUCAGCACUGGGUUGUCCUUUGCCAGUGUUUCUGAGGAUGAGAAUAAAUGAGCACUGUGACCUUUGUUUGCCUGAUUCCAUGUUGGACAUCAC